RNAcentral lists this ribosomal RNA (615 nucleotides) under uncultured bacterium. RNAcentral's name for it is "bacterial SSU rRNA". The stretch from base 1 to 518 matches the Rfam family "Bacterial small subunit ribosomal RNA", at positions 338 to 873 of the family's 1533-position model. The record is from RNAcentral.
CCUACGGGAGGCAGCAGUGGGGAAUAUUGGACAAUGGGCGAAAGCCUGAUCCAGCAAUGCCGCGUGAGUGAUGAAGGCCUUAGGGUUGUAAAGCUCUUUUACCAGGGAUGAUAAUGACAGUACCUGGAGAAUAAGCUCCGGCUAACUCCGUGCCAGCAGCCGCGGUAAUACGGAGGGAGCUAGCGUUGUUCGGAAUUACUGGGCGUAAAGCGUACGUAGGCGGUUAUUCAAGUCAGAGGUGAAAGCCUGGAGCUCAACUCCAGAACUGCCUUUGAAACUAGAUAGCUAGAAUCUUGGAGAGGUGAGUGGAAUUCCGAGUGUAGAGGUGAAAUUCGUAGAUAUUCGGAAGAACACCAGUGGCGAAGGCGACUCACUGGACAAGUAUUGACGCUGAGGUACGAAAGCGUGGGGAGCAAACAGGAUUAGAUACCCUGGUAGUCCACGCCGUAAACGAUGAUAACUAGCUGUUCGGGCUCUACGAGCUUGAGUGGCGCAGCUACGACAUUAAGUUAUCCGUCCGUCGGGAGGUACGGUCGGCGAAGAAUUAAAACGUUAAAAGGUAAAGUUAGUACGGACGUGAGACGUCGCCGACGGACGACGACGAGGGAGGUUAGG